Molecule: non-coding RNA, 217 nt
Organism: Dermatophagoides farinae (American house dust mite)
Lineage: Eukaryota; Metazoa; Arthropoda; Arachnida; Sarcoptiformes; Pyroglyphidae
Source: RefSeq, a predicted model, not a curated record
AAGAAGAAGAAGAAGAAUCAUCAUCAGCAUUUUUGGUUUCAUUGGAUAAUGGAAAAUGUUGAAUGGAACCCUGAUAUUUCCAAAAUGGUUUUCAUGGGCGCAUGAAAUCAAAAUCAAAACACAAUCACUGACAAAUUGUCCUUCAAAAAUACUUCAUCUGUAAAAAAAAAAAAAAUACCAAUGGUCAACAAGUAUUGAUGAAUGACAACAACAACAA